This 636-nucleotide long non-coding RNA is filed under the name Physcomitrium patens. Its description in RNAcentral is "long non-coding RNA (PPAT_LNC006538)". Lineage: Eukaryota; Viridiplantae; Streptophyta; Bryopsida; Funariales; Funariaceae. The record is from RNAcentral.
UGAUUUAUGCAAUGCAAUUAAGGUUAGCAUUCGCUACUAAUUUGUAAAAUUGGUGUCACAUCUAUGAUUCAAAUUUUGAUAAUUCUUAGUUAAUUAGGUAUUUUAAGUGUAUGUAAAUUUUUGUAAUAAUUCCAUGGUGCAAUGGAGAGAUAUCUAGGCUUUGAUACAAGAACAUAUUAGAAGUUGGCAGUUUGGAGUUGGAUAGGAUUUCUAUGAUAUUUGAAGAUCUACUAGUUGGAUCAAGGUGAUAUUUGGCAUGGUUUUGGAGGACUUAAAGAUUAAGCUACAUAUUAAUUUUGUAUUAAAGUUAAAAAUUGGAGAAAGAAAAAUCAUUGCUGGAAUAUUUACAUCAACUAUCAAGUUGACAGUUAAGUAACAUCAGUGUGGUUUUUGGAUAUUUUUUUAAAAUUUUCAAGUUAGAUUCGAAUAAAUUCUUGUUAAGCACAUGGAAAGGUUAUAGUGGUAUUUUUAUGCAAAAUUUUGUUCUAAAUAAAUGGUUAGAUCACAAGCUAAAAUUUGUUAAAGCUUAUUAAUUAAGAUUAAGGUUUGUAAAGAAAGUUCAAAAUUACCUAAUAAUUGAAGUAAUAAGGCAAUUAGAAUUUAUAUAUAGUUGUGAUUACUAAAAAGAGUGUUUUU